CGGCACGGGUGAGUAACACGUAUCCAACCUGCCGUCUACUCUUGGCCAGCCUUCUGAAAGGAAGAUUAAUCCAGGAUGGCAUCAUGAGUUCACAUGUCCGCAUGAUUAAAGGUAUUUUCCGGUAGACGAUGGGGAUGCGUUCCAUUAGAUAGUAGGCGGGGUAACGGCCCACCUAGUCAACGAUGGAUAGGGGUUCUGAGAGGAAGGUCCCCCACAUUAGAACUGAGACACGGUCCAA
This 238-nucleotide ribosomal RNA is filed under the name uncultured bacterium. RNAcentral's name for it is "partial 16S ribosomal RNA". It matches the Rfam family "Bacterial small subunit ribosomal RNA", at positions 100 to 334 of the family's 1533-position model. The record is from RNAcentral.